UACUUCCUGGGAUCACAUAAGGAGAGUUUCCAGUACUCUACCAGUCUUGACUAUGGGAGGGAGAGUCAAGCAGAGGCAUAUUUAUUAAAUUCCUAGCUUGGGCAGUGGCUAGUGAGUGGAAGACAAUCUGCUACAAGU
Tachyglossus aculeatus (Australian echidna) is the source of this 138-nucleotide small nucleolar RNA. The record is from RefSeq and is a predicted model, not a curated record. NCBI's taxonomy places the organism in Eukaryota, Metazoa, Chordata, Mammalia, Monotremata, Tachyglossidae.